CGGCAAAGGAAGACCUUUCUCUGUCUCUCUCUCUCACUGUCCACUCUGCCUGUCAAAAAAAUAAAUAAAAAGCCAAUAUCCAAGAUAUGGCAAAACAUGAUCAUACUCAACAGGAAGUAUUCCAGACAAAGCAAGACCUGUUCUUUUCCAUUCUUCCUUAAAUUACAGUUCUUCUCCUUUCCAUGCCUAACAUUUCUGUGUUCUAGUUCAUGUAGAUUACUCUGAAAGCUUCCUAGGACACAAAUGGCAUCCUUUCCCCCUGAGAGGACUAAUAGUGACAAGUGCCUUUUAGGUUCUUGAUGUUAAGUGAAUGAAAUGGUGAGGCAUGUCACAAGCUUUGUGGUUUAAUACCUUUACCAAAAACACUUACUGGACACUAACUCCUUGCCAUACUGUUUUCAAGAACCAAAGUUUAGGUCAAUUUCCAAGUUACAAUGUUCUUAAGACCCAAAUAAUUUCCAGGUUGUAAGAAUUCUUUGCAAGCUAAAUACAUGAAAACCUGGAUUUACUGAAAUUGGGAGGCUAUUUUUUAUUUUACAAAAGCUUCCUCAUAGGAUUCUUUUAUUUGUAUGAUAAAUUCCACGUGUAACACGUUUACACACACGAUAUGUAAAGUAAGUCGGACCCACAUUACUGGUGUAUUGCAUUCUUAACACCAAAUAUCAAACUCCAUGGGAUCUGCAAGUAUAGGAGGGAGUAUGGUUUCUCAACAUGAUGUGAAAGUCAAAUUCAGUAUCACUCUCUUCAGAACUCCAUUGUGUAUCACCAUGUGUAUAUGCACGCAUAUGCCUGUGUUCAUUCCACUCUCUGACCCUUUAUAAUUCUCCUUUUGUUCGCUUGGCUGUUUCUCUACUCCUCCUCCCCAGUUCUCUUCACUGCAUUUUCAGUUGAAUAUAUUCUUCCUUGGUCAUCUUGUAGCUUUUUAGUCUCUGCUGACUUACAUCAACAUUUAUUUCUUAGCUUCCUGAGGAAUUUUUCCUUUCUGCUUUUGUUCUGAGAUUUUCCAUUUCAUUUAGUAAUUUUUACUUCUACAAAGCGUUAUUUAGUUCAGGUUAGACAUUGUUAAUUUUUCCCACCUGCCUUAUGGUUAAGAAUUUUGGUCAGCUGUAGUUGGCUCCCCUAUUCUUCCUAUAAUAGUAUUUAUGUUUUUCUUUUCCUGCUCAUUAUUUUCUUUGACUUAGAAAAAUAGUUGGUUUUUGGUAGGCAGGGAUUACUGGGUUCCUUGAUUCAAGUGUGUUCUGUUGGUAAAGUGAAAUACUUUUAUUUCUCCGCGAUCACACUGUUUUGGUGAGGUGGGUGGGGUUGGAGUCUUAUUCUGACUCCAUAAUGGUUUUUUUUCCAUUCUGUAGGAGCCUUGCUUCCUUCACUUUACCAUCAAGCCUCUAAGAGACAUCUCGACUCUCCCAGAAAUGGUACUCUCUCAUAAUGUCCACUUAACUUUCAGACUUCUUUUAAUGCCCUAGUGGCUAGUGGUUUGACACACCAGUGUUGGUAUUCCCAUCACUGAUGGUGGAGUCCUUGAUUUUUCGCCCCAUGUUCUGCCACUGUUGGGGGACGUCCCUACUGCCCUCAUCUCUGCCACAAACUUCCCAUCGACUGUCUGACACUAUUUCCAGGUGCUGCUUGUCUGGAUUCACAUAACUGUGCUUAUUGCAAAUUUUAAAAAGGGUCAAAAGGUCACAUAAUCAAGAAAUUGAGCCACAAGUAAAGAGAGAUUUGUUAAUUCUGCCUGUGUGUUUUAAAUUACACUAUUAUCAAUUACCAUCUCUAAUUAAUUUUCCUCUCUUUCCUUCAAUUUGCCCAGCUAUAUUUCAGUGGAAUUCUCCAAGUGCCCUAAGACAGGCCAGAAAAUAACAAAAAUAUCACACUAAAAUGUUAAGUGAAAGAUAUAUGCACAUGUAAAUUAAUAUCACCUUAAAGCUCUUAUGUUUUAAUGGAUGACCACACAAAUGAAACUUUCUUGCAUACAUACAAUUGGACACCUCUGAUAAUUAGAGAUAGAUGUCUGAUGCCCCUCCUUCUGUGACUGGGGUGAUGCAGCUAUUACAAAUAUACUCAGCAGCUAGCUAUGAGUGUCAAAAUAAUUUUAAAAAUUUGACUAGAAGGGCAAGGAUUUCAAUGUUAAGAAUGCAAACAAAGCUCAUGGAUCUCAGAGUCCAAAUAACCCAGCAUAGUUCUAAAAUCACUGAGUUCCUAUUAUUUACUGUUCUCUUUCCCUUAUUAUUUAUAAAAAGUAAUACCAAACCUUCUGGACUAAGCCAGAGCUAUGGUAUAGAAAAGCACAUUAUCUGAUGAUAGGGCCCAUUAUUAAAGCCUUUAAAGGAUUAAAAAACAAAGACAGCUGGAAAUAACCACCAUAAUUUUUUCAAGAACAUUUAUACAUCUUUUUAAUUAGAUUAGCUUUACAAGCAACUUGAGAGCUCUUCCAUAAUGAAACACUGCUUUCCAAAUUACAUGACUUUAUAGCCUAUCUAUAUGGGAAUCCUGAAAUUCUUUGCCUACUAUUGAUAAAGUUCUGUGUUUUACAGCUGGUUAAUGUGAUGAAUAAAAAUAAGCAUUGCGAAGAUUUAUCUUCAACCAGGAUUGAACACAUAUAGGCCACAAACCAUUUUCAAUUUAGUUUUAAAUAUAGUCCUGCUCGGUGACAAGUUAACGGUCCCACUAACAACAAAUGAAUAGUUUCAGUGAAUAUUAAAAGAAAUGGCUAUCCUGAUUGCUUGAUAUUUUCACACUGAUCUCCAAGAAAGUAUAUAAACUUUUUCAAAAAAAUAUAUAAUUUAAGACCUGUCUGUCAAGCACAACCAAUAGAUAGCAGACUCUGAUAACUGUACAGCUGCAAAGGUACACACAUUUGAACAACAGGGGCUCCCAAAUUAAAAGGCUGUGCUAUACAUCUUAACAGACUUCAGUCUACCUAAAACAAUUUCUACUAACGCUACAAACGAUAGUGCUUUCAAAUUGUGGCCCAAGGCAGUGCACUGCACUACAGACCAGAUGGCAAGGACAACUUGCACUCCCAGGUCGGGCUGGCAGAGAGGCACUUACUGUAGAGAUGUUAUGUUAUCAUCUGGAAGAGGAAGUGGGACAAAGCUGAACAUGGGCAAGGAAAAACAAUAAACUAUCGCUUUUUUUCCUGCAGGUUCUCCUAAGUGAGAACACGAUACCAAAUAUUUAAUCCCAUUCUAAUUCAUACUGUCAGUUUCACUAAAUAAUUUUUUUCAUGUUUUACAUGAACAAUAGCAAUCUUUUAAUAAAAAUUACUGAGCUUUCCAUAGAAAAGGUCUCUAAUUGGAUACAAACUAUACAGAUGCUAAAACUGUUGUAAAUUGAAAUAUAUAGAAAUAUUUCUGUAUACUCAGAUUUUGGCAAAGAAGAUCGAGGAAACAGGAUAGAAAACCUAAAUUGGUAAGGGCUCUUUGCUAAAGAGCCUAGGAGAAUGAAAUCUAAGACGUCUAUCUCAACUCAUUCUUUAAGUAACAGAAGUCCGGGAGGCCUUGUGUGAUUAUGUAAUGUUCCUUCUUUUUCUAAAAUGUAAAAAAGAAAACCCAUAAAACAUAAAAAUAAAAUUAUCUGGUUUUGCGCUUUUUUGUUUUUCUAAGCUAAGCAUACGUCUUUCAGUACUGACAAGAAGGCUGGCAUCACAUUUGGGGAAUGCCUCAACAGCUGUCUGAAGAGUCACUGAACAUCAAGUUUGUAACAACACAUUUCCUUCUCAAUGCAAAUUAAUCUCCCCCUGAUAUUCUUCAAAAGAGACAAAGGUUCUGAUCUGAAAAUCAGACGGAUCAUAGUAUUAGGAAGAAAACAAUAAAUUUGAAAGUACAAUCCGUUUGAGAAGCAAAAGGGAAAACCUUAGAAAUGGGAAAUCAUCAUCUAGCUCUAGAGGAAACACCUGAAUGCAGAAGAAAGCCCUUUAUCUUAGGAACUUGAUGCUGAGGAUAAUCUCAAGUUCAUUCAGUGCCAGUCACUUUCGUUUUGUUUAAAAAAAAAAAAAAACUUGAAAAGAUAAACCCUUCUUACAGUGUAUUUUUCCUUAUAAAACAUGAACUGAAGUUAC
Non-coding RNA from Oryctolagus cuniculus (rabbit), 4054 nucleotides. The record is from RefSeq and is a predicted model, not a curated record. NCBI's taxonomy places the organism in Eukaryota, Metazoa, Chordata, Mammalia, Lagomorpha, Leporidae.